This 463-nucleotide ribosomal RNA is filed under the name uncultured bacterium. RNAcentral describes it as "bacterial SSU rRNA". It matches the Rfam family "Bacterial small subunit ribosomal RNA", at positions 917 to 1390 of the family's 1533-position model. The record is from RNAcentral.
GGGCCCGCACAAGCAGCGGAGCGUGUGGUUUAAUUCGAUGCAACGCGAAGAACCUUACCUGGGCUUGACAUGUACGUAGUAGUGAAGGGAAACCGGAACGAGCCUUCGGGCAGCGUAGACAGGUGCUGCAUGGCUGUCGUCAGCUCGUGUCGUGAGAUGUUGGGUUAAGUCCCGCAACGAGCGCAACCCGUGUUGCUAGUUACAAGUGUCUAGCGAGACUGCCGGUAACAAGCCGGAGGAAGGUGCGGAUGAUGUCAAGUCAGCAUGGCCUAUAUGUCCAGGGCUACACACACGCUACAAUGGCUGGUACAAAGAGAAGCGAAAGGGAGACCUGAAGCGAAUCUCAUCAAAGCCAGUCAUAGUUCGGAUUGCAGGCUGCAACUCGCCUGCAUGAAGUCGGAGUUGCUAGUAACCGCAGGUCAGCGAAUACUGCGGUGAAUACGUUCCCGGGCCUUGUACACAC